GUUUUUGUAGUUGAAUUACAACGGUGGUUUUUCAGGCCAUUGGUCUCGGUUAGACUCCGAGUAAAAAUA
RNAcentral lists this transfer RNA (69 nucleotides) under Lampris guttatus (North Atlantic opah). RNAcentral describes it as "tRNA-Glu". It matches the Rfam family "tRNA". Rfam says of the family: Transfer RNA (tRNA) molecules are approximately 80 nucleotides in length. Their secondary structure includes four short double-helical elements and three loops (D, anti-codon, and T loops). Lineage: Eukaryota; Metazoa; Chordata; Actinopteri; Lampriformes; Lampridae. The record is from RNAcentral.